GAUGAACGCUGACAGAAUGCUUAACACAUGCAAGUCGAUGGGGAAGUGAUGCUUGCACCAUGGUAACCAUGGCGGACUGGUGAGUAACGCGUAAGGAACUUGCCUGCGGGACUGGGAUAACAGCAGGAAACUGCUGAUAAUACCGGAUAAGGUCAUUAAGCUGCAUAGCUUAGUGAUGAAAGGAGACGCCUGCGGAGAGCCUUGCGUCCUAUUAGCUAGUUGGAGGGGUAACGGCCCACCAAGGCGAAGAUAGGUAGCCGGCCUGAGAGGGUGGACGGCCACAAGGGGACUGAGAUACGGCCCUUACUCCUACGGGAGGCAGCAGUGGGGAAUAUUGGACAAUGGGGGCAACCCUGAUCCAGCAAUUCUGUGUGCACGAAGACGGUUUUCGGAUUGUAAAGUGCUUUCAGCAGGGAAGAAGGAAGUGACGGUACCUGCAGAAGAAGCGACGGCUAAAUACGUG
Molecule: ribosomal RNA, 463 nt
Filed under: uncultured bacterium
Lineage: Bacteria
Description: partial 16S ribosomal RNA
Rfam family: Bacterial small subunit ribosomal RNA
Source: RNAcentral